UACGUAGGUGACAAGCGUUGUCCGGAUUUACUGGGCGUAAAGAGCGCGCAGGCGGUCGUUCAAGUCGAGUGUGAAAGCCCCCGGCUCAACUGGGGAGGGUCAUUCGAUACUGAUCGACUCGAAGGCAGGAGAGGGUAGUGGAAUUCCCGGUGUAGUGGUGAAAUGCGUAGAUAUCGGGAGGAACACCAGUGGCGAAGGCGACUACCUGGCCUGUUCUUGACGCUGAGGCGCGAAAGCUAGGGGAGCAACGGG
This 252-nucleotide ribosomal RNA is filed under the name uncultured bacterium. RNAcentral describes it as "partial 16S ribosomal RNA". It matches the Rfam family "Bacterial small subunit ribosomal RNA", at positions 524 to 775 of the family's 1533-position model. The record is from RNAcentral.